UGCUGCAUAUUCAAAAAAGCGGAGGAAAAGAAACCAACAGGGAUUGCCUCAGUAGCGGCGAGUGAAGCGGCAAGAGCUCAGAUUUGAAAUCUCACCUAGUGUGCGAGUUGUAAAUUGCAGGUUGGAGUCUCGGGUUAGACGUGUGUGCAAGUCCCUUGGAACAGGGUGCCACUGAGGGUGAGAGCCCCGUAGCGUGCAUGUCGACACCUGUGAGGCCCUUCUGACGAGUCGAGUUGUUUGGGAAUGCAGCUCUAAGUGGGUGGUAAAUUCCAUCUAAGGCUAAAUAUUGGCGAGAGACCGAUAGCGAACAAGUACUGUGAAGGAAAGAUGAAAAGCACUUUGAAAAGAGAGUGAAACAGCACGUGAAAUUGUUGAAAGGGAAGGGUAUUGGGCUCGACAUGGGAUUUACGCAUCGUUGCCUCUCGUGGGCGGCGCUCUGGGUUUUUCCUGGGCCAGCAUCGGUUUUCGUUGCAGGAUAAGGACAAUUGGAAUGUGGCUCCUCGGAGUGUUAUAGCCUUUUGUAGAUGCUGCGUAUGGGGACCGAGGGCUGCGGCGGACUCGUUCGUCUCGGAGGCAUUCCAACUGCACAAGAA
Molecule: ribosomal RNA, 593 nt
Filed under: Pichia kluyveri
Lineage: Eukaryota; Fungi; Ascomycota; Pichiomycetes; Pichiales; Pichiaceae
Description: partial large subunit ribosomal RNA
Rfam family: Eukaryotic large subunit ribosomal RNA
Source: RNAcentral